Non-coding RNA from Salmo salar (Atlantic salmon), 726 nucleotides. Lineage: Eukaryota; Metazoa; Chordata; Actinopteri; Salmoniformes; Salmonidae. The record is from RefSeq and is a predicted model, not a curated record.
AGCAGAGAGGGACAGCGGUCGAGGAGCUGCGAAGAGUCAGAUGUCCAUCCGUGGAGAGGUUCACGGUCGAACGGCGCCUUGAAGAAAGAGUGACCUGGAGGAACCUUGUGCCGGCCAGCGAGUGCUGUCACACAAACACCUCUCACUGAUAAGGCCUCUACUGGGGCGCUCUGCACACAUUUCCUCUGGAUGUAUUUCUGAUGUCGUUGACCACAGCAGAGAGAGCUCCACACAGAAGGAAAAGAGGGAGGUUGAAAAAUAUCAUAUGGAUGACUUUGCUAAAUUGCAGAAGCUGUCAGUGGAUUCAGCUGAUAUAAGGAGAAGAUCUUUCAUUUCAAUAUGUUUCAUUUAAAUGUCUAUUGUAUCUGUUCCGCUCAUCAGUAUUGUGUGUGUGUGUGUGUCUAUACUCAUUCCUUAGCACACUUUUUUACCUUUAUAACCCAGAACAUUAUGAGCAUCAAAACGUCAUAUUGUCAUGUUUUUACAAAAGGUUAAACUUCAACCAAUUGUCGCUUAUGUCAACUGGUCAUGCUCCCAGCAGGCUUUGCAGUGUCAAUGGGAAAAGAUGAGUGUCACAGGGUUGAAGCUUAUGUCAAUACAUUGCAGUCAAUGGGAAAGGAAAAGCAUCAAACAAAUGACCCAUUUGUCAAUAAAUUGCAUUCAGGGGGAAAAAAUGAGUGUCAACCAAUUUACGCUUAUGCUAAUACAUUGCAAUCAAUGGUAAAA